AUAUAUAUAUUCUAUUGAUUUAUAUAAUUUUGCGUUUAUAUUACAUAAUUAUAGAUGCCCAGAUGUAUAUGUUACGUUCGUUAUAUUGCAGGAAGCAUCGGUGGUUCAGUGGUAGAAUGCUCGCCUGCCACGCGGGCGGCCCGGGUUCGAUUCCCGGCCGAUGCAAAUUGUGUUUCUUUUUUAUUUUAUCUUUUUCAUUUCCAUUUGCCUAUCAGACUACAAAUAGAUAAAGAAACGUAUAAUUGUGAUAAGUAAGGCGGUAUUGUACAAAGACUGUAUCUAUGUAUCAUGUGAAUCUGCUGUAAAUACGUUUCAACUAGUCACCUUCUAAUGUAUGUAUAUGCAAAACUUUGACACGCGAGAGUUAUAAAUACUACAUAAACAGGAUUAACGUAGAGGAUACCCGAGACUUUGUUCUAAAAAUGUAUUUUGCGUAUCGAUUGAAAUGCGAACGCACGACGGGUAUAAGAUGGUCGUUAAAGUCUCCAAGACUAGAUACAAUUUAGCUGGAUAUUCAAUUCCUUAUCGUCUACGAUAAGAUUGUUCCCUGAUAUCAAACGCUAGCUAAUAAAUAUUAAAUAAUUGCAAUAAAUUGUUGGAUGGAACAUCAACUUGCUGGUACAUAGAAGUGCAGCAGUAAAAAUUGUUGCUACCUGUGAAUAGACAUCGUGAUAAUUAGUUAUUAUCGGGUAAAUUGUUAAGUAGAUUAUUAGAUUGUUCGUGGAACCGAUUGGGAACUGCUGUCGAACGUCUACGAGGAGCAAUGAAGCUGAUUUUGCAAGAUUAUUUGCUCGUUGCCCUCAUUAUGGAAUAGCUUAGUUAUCGAACAAUUGCGACCGAGAAAACGAGGUGGCACUCAACGUGUUUAAAUCAUUAAUUAUUACAUAAGGGAGGUCUCAUAACGUAUGAGAAAAGAGAGAGAGAGAGAGAGAGAGAGAGAGAGAGAGAGAGAGAGAGCAAGAGAGAGAGAGAGAGAGAGCAAGAGAGAGAAUGUUCGCCUUUCAGUUCAUAAAUAAUGAACACAAUUGUGCUGCGCGGAUUACCAAGCUGUAUAGGUUUGCUGUCGGCAUUGACCGUGAAAGCUUAACGUCCUUGAUAAAGCCGAUAAUUCUGAGUUGGUUGUAGCUGCGUACAAAGUUCAAAGCUUGUAAGCAUUUCGCAUCAUUAAAUCAAAGUACGCGUCAUGGUCGAUGCUUGCGCUGAUCGCGCCGUAAUAAUUCAUGAACUCCUCCUCGGUGACCUGCAAUUAACGUGGAAUUACGUUUCAGAUCAUCAACAUCGGCUCUGCGGUAUGGAACGCUACCUAUACGUAUCGUCGAUAGUGAUCACACCGUCGCCAGUUUUGUCAAGCUUCUUGAACGCUUGAUCAACCACGUUCCUGCGGCUUUGCGACAUCGGCGGCUGUAUAAUAAAACGCUUCGUCAUGAUUACGAUCCGAUACAUCAGGUGCUUCGUCUAUAGAGAUUACAAACAUCCAGUACCCGUAUAGCAACUAUGAACUCGUCCACGCUGAUAUUCCCGUCGCCGUCUGUGUCGAAUUUGUCAAAAAUCUCUUUCACCUCCUCCUCCGAAACUUCCAAACCGGUCUCCUCCAAACCAUUCGUGAACUCCUCAAGGUUUAGCUUCUUGUUGCCGUCAUCAUCCAUGCGACGGAAAACUCUGAAAAUCGACUGUAUCGACAAAAGUGUCUUUUGGGAGUUUUAUGGAAUUAAAACUAUUAUACAAAUGGAUCGAUUGUGCCCACUCACCUACCCAGGCCGAGGAUACCAUUGGCACCUCGAGCCAGGCAGAGCAGACGCAGCUUCUCAAUGGAGUCCGUGGCUGUGUGUAUGGCCCGUUGGGCCUUAUUGAUCAUCUCGGUCUCUUGCCUGGUCGUUGCGCUCUGCGGUCUGUUAAAAAACAUCCCUGCAAGAGAAACCUGUUCUUCGUUGACUCAUGCUGCAACGAUGAUUCAGAUGUCCAGGAAAGAGAUAGUGUGAAACUGAGUGGUGGGAUAAAGCACGAAAAGUGGGAGUUACGGUUUUAAAAUUCGCAGGAAAUGUUUCAUUUUAUUUGACUGCAAGGUGUCGGUAAUCGGACUUCAUUGAAUGCCCGUUACGCGUGUCAAUAAUUAAACACUGAGGAAAUGUUGCGUCUGAACGACGAAAAUAGAUAUUGCCAAAAAUACUACAAAAAGUUCGUUACAAGGGAGUUAGAACCAUGCGCGCCAAUUGCUUGGAGAAGAUUCCUGAUGGAAUGGUGUUCGAAGGAUAAGUACCAGUAAAAGUUCGUGUUUAUUCCGAAGAAGAUUGGAAAGCGAGUGAUGGUAACUGGUUCUUUUAGUACGACUAGUCGCAUUCAAUAGGUCGGCAUACAGUGGAUCACACGUACGUUGAUGGACACCACGCUCACAUAUGAAAACAAGGAGUGCUGUCAUGUACAAUGUCCAUACAAUAGUCUGUAGAACGUAUCCAUAACGACCAAACAGCCACAACACGUGUAUCGGCAAAAAUUUCACGCGUGAUCAAUUCCCAAUACCGAUUUCCUAUUGAUGGACUAUCAUGAGUAUAAGGCGGCCCCUAGUAUACUACUUACUGGAUAACAUUCUAAGGACUUACUCUAGCUGCUCGGAAGAAGGUCUUACUCUGUUAACUAUGCGACCUUUCAUCUCUUUUUCCGCGUACAAUUAUUUAAACAAUUUCAUGGGCACUCAACUUUCUUUGAAUUCAUGAUAACUACCUUACACGAGAUGUUCUAACGCAUUCAACUGUUACAGAUAUUACAGGUGGUAUUGCCCAAGGGUUUCAGUCUAUAGAGUCUAUGUAGAGUAAACCUAUUAGAACUUUAACAUUCUUGGGAUCUUGUCAUAGUACGUAAUGGUAAUAUCCGGUCUUUGUUUUCUAACGGUCAGCUUACUUAACGACUCGUUUCUAUCGCUGAUAGUGAUCAUUGGUCUGUAACAUCGAUCAUACUAUUUUGUUUUUAGCAAAAGGUAGUAUUUAAGAUUGAAAUGAAUGCAUUAGGAUAUAUACGAUAUCAUUUUGUGUUGAAGCAAAUUCGAUUGAAAUCGUGUAAGGAGUUAUUUGCUUCGAAUUAUGUAUAAUUAGUCGUAUAUAGUCUUUAUAAAAUGCCAGUGGAUAAGACCCCUAUUACCAUUCCAGUGUUGAGCACAGCAUUAUCGUUAGUUCACGAAUUUAGGCAUAUUAUCACAAAGCGAAUAUCCUAUAUACUUCAUUUCUACUUCGAGUGCUGAUUAUUAUUUGGAGGUAGUACAUUAGUGUAGAUGUCGCGGCAUUUAAAUAACGGAAAUGGUAUUUAUAAAACAGGUACUGUAGAAAUACGAUACAAAGUGUAAUUAUUUGUAUGGACAGUCGUGCUGUUGUUUAUAAUAAUUAAUACUCGAUCCUCGCUAAGAAACUUAAUUUCGAAGA
Molecule: non-coding RNA, 3410 nt
Organism: Megalopta genalis
Lineage: Eukaryota; Metazoa; Arthropoda; Insecta; Hymenoptera; Halictidae
Source: RefSeq, a predicted model, not a curated record